AUCGCUUCUCGGCCUUUUGGCUAAGAUCAAGUGUAGUAUCUGUUCUUAUCAGUUUAAAACUCUCGUUCCUUUUUAUCCCCAAACUCUGUCUUCAUGUUAUAUUUUGGCUCUGGAGCACAGAGGUCGGUUUGCGACAACGACAUCCCUGUUUGGUGGGACAUCCAGCCACCCUCGAGGGUGUAGCUGCUGUUUCCU
Small nuclear RNA from Neofelis nebulosa (Clouded leopard), 195 nucleotides. RefSeq annotates it as U2 spliceosomal RNA. Lineage: Eukaryota; Metazoa; Chordata; Mammalia; Carnivora; Felidae. The transcript has a single exon. The record is from RefSeq and is a predicted model, not a curated record.